CCUACGGGUGACUGCAGUAGGGAAUCUUCCACAAUGGGCGAAAGCCUGAUGGAGCAACGCCGCGUGGGUGAAGAAGGUCUUCGGAUCGUAAAACCCUGUUGUUAGAGAAGAAAGUGCGUGCGAGUAACUGUUCCCGUUUCGACGGUAUCUAACCAGAAAGCCACGGCUAACUACGGGCCAGCAGCCGCGGUAAUACGUAGGUGGCAAGCGUUAUCCGGAUUUAUUGGGCGUAAAGGGAACGCAGGCGGUCUUUUAAGUCUGAUGUGAAAGCCUUCGGCUUAACCGGAGGAGUGCAUUGGAAACUGGGAGACUGGAGUGCAGAAGAGGAGAGUGGAACUGCAUGUGUAGCGGUGAAAGGCGUAGAUAUAUGGAAGAACACCAGUGGCGAAAGCGGCUCUCUGGUCUGUAACUGACGCUGAGGUUCGAAAGCGUGGGUAGCAAACAGGAUUAGAUACCCCUGUAGUC
This 465-nucleotide ribosomal RNA is filed under the name uncultured bacterium. RNAcentral's name for it is "partial 16S ribosomal RNA". It matches the Rfam family "Bacterial small subunit ribosomal RNA", at positions 338 to 795 of the family's 1533-position model. The record is from RNAcentral.